This 450-nucleotide ribosomal RNA is filed under the name uncultured bacterium. RNAcentral describes it as "bacterial SSU rRNA". It matches the Rfam family "Bacterial small subunit ribosomal RNA", at positions 354 to 796 of the family's 1533-position model. The record is from RNAcentral.
GUGGGGAAUAUUGGACAAUGGGCGCAAGCCUGAUCCAGCAAUGCCGCGUGUGUGAAGAAGGCCUGCGGGUUGUAAAGCACUUUGAGUGGGGAAGAAGGGUUAGGGGUGAAUAGCCUCUGGCAUUGACGUUACCCACAGAACAAGCACCGGCUAACUCCGUGCCAGCAGCCGCGGUAAUACGGAGGGUGCGAGCGUUAAUCGGAAUUACUGGGCGUAAAGCGCGCGUAGGUGGUUUGGUCAGUCUGAUGUGAAAGCCCUGGGCUCAACCUGGGAAUGGCAUUGGAAACUGCUAAGCUAGAGUGUGGGAGAGGGGAGUGGAAUUUCCGGUGUAGCAGUGAAAUGCGUAGAGAUCGGAAGGAACACCAGUGGCGAAGGCGGCUCCCUGGACCAACACUGACGCUGAGGUGCGAAAGCGUGGGGAGCAAACAGGAUUAGAUACCCGAGUAGUCC